RNAcentral lists this ribosomal RNA (258 nucleotides) under uncultured bacterium. RNAcentral's name for it is "partial 16S ribosomal RNA". It matches the Rfam family "Bacterial small subunit ribosomal RNA", at positions 96 to 354 of the family's 1533-position model. The record is from RNAcentral.
UGGCGGACGGGUGAGUAGCGCGUGGAAAACCUGCCGUAUACUGGGGGAUAACACUUAGAAAUAGGUGCUAAUACCGCAUAAGCGCACAGCUUCGCAUGAAGCGGUGUGAAAAACUCUGGUGGUAUACGAUGGUUCCGCGUCUGAUUAGCUAGUUGGUGGGGUAAUGGCCUACCAAGGCAACGAUCAGUAGCCGGCCUGAGAGGGUGAACGGCCACAUUGGGACUGAGACACGGCCCAAACUCCUACGGAAGGCAGCAG